GUGCCUCUGCGGUGUUCGUGAUGCGUCGCGCUCAAUUGGCGAACCGACACUAACCUGCUAGGGAGCCUUUAUUUAAGGCUCGCGCCGCUCGCAAGCCCAUCCCCGACGCCCCGCGCCGGGACUGUAGUGGGAUCCGAAACGCGCGGGCGAGGUUCCCCUUUCAAGUAGCGGGUUCCCAACAAGCGACGCACACGGCACAGGCGGAGGUUUU
RNAcentral lists this non-coding RNA (211 nucleotides) under Gemmataceae bacterium. RNAcentral describes it as "6S RNA". It matches the Rfam family "6S / SsrS RNA". From Rfam's summary of the family: E. coli 6S RNA was the first non coding RNA to be sequenced, but its function was unknown until recently. Lineage: Bacteria; Pseudomonadati; Planctomycetota; Planctomycetia; Gemmatales; Gemmataceae. The record is from RNAcentral.